This 253-nucleotide ribosomal RNA is filed under the name uncultured bacterium. Its description in RNAcentral is "partial 16S ribosomal RNA". It matches the Rfam family "Bacterial small subunit ribosomal RNA", at positions 524 to 776 of the family's 1533-position model. The record is from RNAcentral.
GACAGAGGGUGCAAACGUUGUUCGGAAUUACUGGGCGUAAAGCGCGUGUAGGCGGCCAUCUAAGUCGGGCGUGAAAUCCCACGGCUCAACCGUGGAAGUGCACUCGAAACUGGAUGGCUAGAGUCCUGGAGAGGAAGGUGGAAUGCUUGGUGUAGAGGUGAAAUUCGUAGAUAUCAAGCGGAACACCAGUGGCGAAGGCGGCUCACUGGUCCGGUACUGACGCUGAGGUGCGAAAGCGUGGGGAGCAAACAGG